This 579-nucleotide long non-coding RNA is filed under the name Eutrema salsugineum. Its description in RNAcentral is "long non-coding RNA (ESAL_LNC000706)". Lineage: Eukaryota; Viridiplantae; Streptophyta; Magnoliopsida; Brassicales; Brassicaceae. The record is from RNAcentral.
ACACACACAUUAUAUAUAUAUAUAUAUAUAUGUUUUCUUUCUUGUUCAGAAAGUUGUAUCUUUGGUUUGGCUGGAAUUCUUGGACAUUCCUUGCUACCUUUGAUUUUUCACUUCAUAAACUCGUUUAACUAGAAAGAAAAAAGGACUCGCUUGACUAGAAGUCCAUGGCUUGGUAGUGUUCAUGCUUUUGUUUCAUUGGUUGCUCUAUUUGGUUUUCCUAUUAAGCGAAACAGAUUAGUAACGGUCUAACGGAUUACUAAUAUUCUUAAUCAUACGUUGAGAAAAGGUUAACUUUCAUGAUACCGAAGCCUACACAGACAUAUGGCGAAGUGGCGUUGUGUACCCGUUAUUUUAUAAUUUUAUUGUAGUUUAACAUACAUAAACAUUUUUGAUUCAAAAAGAAACAUUAGCUAUUUAUAGGCAGAGAUAACCUACAUUCCACCGCCUCCCCCUCCACCUCUGCCGCUACCGCUUCCACUUCCUCCUCGACCGCUACCGACUCCACUUCCUCCUCUUCGACCGCUGCUGCCUCCAACACCACCUCCGCCAACUCUACCUCCUUGGUGGGCACGGUCUUUG